UAAGGAACUUGCCUCUUGGUCUGGGACAACUGUUGGAAACGACAGCUAAUACCGGAUAUUAUGAGAUUCUCGCAUGGGAAACUUAUGAAAGCUAUAUGCGCCAAGAGAGAGCCUUGCGUUCCAUUAGCUAGUUGGUGGGGUAACGGCCCACCAAGGCGACGAUGGAUAGCCGGCCUGAGAGGGUGAACGGCCACAAGGGGACUGAGACACGGCCCUUACUCCUACGGGAGGCAGCAGUGGGGAAUAUUGGACAAUGGGCCACAAGCCUGAUCCAGCAAUUCUGUGUGCACGAUGAAGGUCUUCGGAUUGUAAAGUGCUUUCAGUUGGGAAGAAGAAAGUGACGGUACCAACAGAAGAAGCGACGGUUAAAUACGUGCCAGCAGCCGCGGUAAUACGUAUGUCGCAAGCGUUAUCCGGAUUUAUUGGGCGUAAAGCGCGUCUAGGCGGAAAAAUAAGUCUGAUGUUAAAAUGCGGGGCUCAACUCCGUAUUGCGUUGGAAACUGUUUUUCUAGAGUACUGGAGAGGUGGGCGGAACUACAAGUGUAGAGGUGAAAUUCGUAGAUAUUUGUAGGAAUGCCGAUGGAGAAGUCAGCUCACUGGACAGAUACUGACGCUAAAGCGCGAAAGCGUGGGGAGCAAACAGG
RNAcentral lists this ribosomal RNA (644 nucleotides) under uncultured bacterium. Its description in RNAcentral is "bacterial SSU rRNA". It matches the Rfam family "Bacterial small subunit ribosomal RNA", at positions 118 to 776 of the family's 1533-position model. The record is from RNAcentral.